Neofelis nebulosa (Clouded leopard) is the source of this 5122-nucleotide long non-coding RNA. RefSeq lists it as uncharacterized. The transcript is spliced from 2 exons. NCBI's taxonomy places the organism in Eukaryota, Metazoa, Chordata, Mammalia, Carnivora, Felidae. The record is from RefSeq and is a predicted model, not a curated record.
CACCCCACAUCUUCUUUAUCUAUUCAUCAGUUGAUGGACAUUUGGGCUCUUUCCAUGAUUUGGCUAUUGUGAAUAGUGCUGCUAUAAACAUUGGGGUGCAUGUGCCCCUUUGAAUCUGCACUCCUGUAUCCUUUGGAUAAAUAUCUAGUAGUGCAAUUGCUGGGUCAUAGGAUAGUUCUAUUUGUAAUUUUUUGAGGAACCUCCAUACUGUUUUCCAGAGUGGCUGUACCAGCUUGCAUUCCCACCGACAGUGCAAAAGAGAUCCUCUUUCUCUGCAGCCUCACCAACACCUGUUGUUGCCUGAGUUGUUAAUGUGAGCCAUUCUGACAGGUGUGAGGUGGUAUCUCAUUGUGGUUUUGAUUUGUAUUUCCCUGAUGAUGGGUGAUGUUGAACAUUUUUUCAUGCGUCUGUUAGCCAUCUGGUGUCUUCUUUGGAAAAGUGUCUAUUCAUGUUUUUUGCCCAUUUCUUCACUGGGUUAUUUGUUUUUUGGGUGUUGAGUUUGAUAAAUUCUUUGUAGAUUUUGGACACUAACCCUUUAUCUGAUAAUGUCUUUUGCAAAUAUCUUCUCCCAUUCCGUCUGUUGACUUUUAGUUUUGCUGAUUGUUUCCUUCGCUGUGCAGAGGAUUUUUAUCUUAAUGAGGGCCCAAUAGCUCAUUUUUGCUUUUGGUUCCCUUGCCUCUGGAGACAUGUCAAGUAAGAAGUUGCUGCGGCCGAGGUCAAAGAGGUCUUUGCCUGCUUUCGCCUCUAGGAUUUUGAUAGUUUCCUAUCUUAUGUUUAGUCUUUCAUCCAUUUUGAGUUUAUUUUUGUGUUAUGGUGUAAGAAAGUGGUCCAGGUUCAUUGUUCUGCAUGUUGCUGUCUUUUUCCCCAACACCAUUUGCUGAAGAGACUGUCUUUUUUCCAUUGGAUAUUCUGUCCUGCUUCGUCAAAGAUUAGUUGGCCAUACGUUUGUGGGUCCAUUUCUGGGUUCUCUGUUCUGUUCCAUUGAUCUAGGUGUCUGUUUUUGUCCCAGGACCAUACUGUCUUGAUGAUUACAGCUUUGUAAUACAGCUUGAAGUCCUGAAUUGUGAUGCCUCCAGCCUUGAUUUUCUUUUUCAGGAUUGUUUUGGCUAUUCAGAGUCUUUCUGGCUCCAUACAAAUUUUAGGGUUGUUUACUCUAGCUCUGUGAAGAAUGUUGGUGUUAUUGUGAUAGGGUUUGCAUUGCAUAUGUUUUGGAUUGUAUUGACAUUUUAACAAUAUUUGUUGUUACAAUCCACGAGCAUGGAAUGUUUUUCCGUGAAUUCUUCAAUUUCUUUUGUAAGCUUUCUAUAGUUUUCAGUGUAUUCUCAACAAGAUACUAGCCAACCGGAUCCAAAAAUACAUUGAAAGAAUUAUUCACCAUGAUCAAGUGGGAUUUAUUCCUGGGCUGCAAGGGUGGUUCAAUAUCUGCAAAUCAAUCAAUAUGAUACAUCACAUUAGUAAAAGAGAAGAUAAGAACCAUAUGAUCCUCUCUAUAGAUGCAGAGAAAGCAUUUGACAAAAUACAGCAUCCUUUCUUGAUAAAACACCCUCAAGAAAGUAGGGAUAGAAGGAUCAUACCUCAAGAUUAUUAAAGGCCAUAUAUGAAAGACUCACAGCUAAUGUCAUGCUCGAUGGCAGAAAACUGAGAGCUUUCCGCCUAAGGUCAGGAACACGACAAGGGGGUCCACUCUCCCCAGUGUUGUUCAACAUAGUGUUGGAAGCCCUAGCUUCAGCAGUCAGACAACACAAAGAAAUAAAAUGUAUCCAAAUCAGCAAGGAGUACUCUAUGGGGAAAACCCAAAGACUCCACCAAAACACUGCUAGAACUGACACGUGAAUUUGCAAAGUCACAGGAUAUAAAUCAGUGCACAGAAAUCCGUUGCAUUUCUAGACACCAAUAAGGAAGCAGCAGAAAGAGAAAUCAAGGAACUGAUCCCCUUUACAAUUGCACCAAAACCCAUAAAAUACCUAGGAAUAAACCUGAGCAAAGAGAUGAAAAAUGUAUACCCUGAAAACUAUAGAAACCUUUUGAUACGUUUUUAUUAACUAAAGCUCUUUUUUUCCCUUAGGGUUUACUCUGUGUGCUGUGCAUUCUGUGGUGCCCUCACAUUGCAAUUUUCCAGGAUUUUUUUUUCAUUCCCUAAAGCUUUUUUUUUUUUUAAUAAUUUUUUUUAAUGUUUAUUUCUUAUUGAGAGACAGAGAGACACAGAGAGUGAACAGGGGGCGGGUAGAGAGAGGGGAGACACAGAAUCUGUAAUAGGCUCCAGGCUCUGAGCUGUCAUCACAGAGCCCGAUGCGGGGCUCGAACUCCCGGACCGUGAGAUCAUGACCUGAGCUGAAGUCGGACACUUAACUGACUGAGCCACCCAGGCGCCCCUGAAAGCUUUUUAAAUAGCAUCUCAUUCUCGUUUCAUGCAUGCAUGUUUUCUUACAUCUCCCAGAUUUUCAUUGACUUUAUUAGUUUUGUUUUCUCUUUGCACAAUCUCUAUUUCCUCAAAAAUUUUCUUUUUUGUUUAUUUUAUUUUUUUGAAAUCUUUUUAACAUUUAUUUAUUUAUUUUCGAGAGAGAGAGAGAGAGAGACGGAGCACAAGCAGGGGAGGGGCAGAGAGAGGAGGGAGACACAGAAUCCGAAGCAGGCUCCAGGCUCUGAGCUGUCAGCACAGAGCCCGACGUGGGGCUCGAACCCAUGAACCACGGGAUCAUGGCCUGAGCCAAAAUCAAUCACUCAACCAACUGAGCCACUCAGGCGCCCCUUUGUUUCCUUUAGUUUCCGUCAUCCCUAGUAGAGGAAAUCCCCAGGGGUCCGAUAAUCCUUAGUUGUAAAUCUGGUUAGAAGCUCUCGGCAUGGGCAUAUGGGGGGGGGGGUGUCUUUCAACUGCGAGCUUCAUGAUGGGGUCACCCGGCCAAGGGUGCUUUGCGGGAAACCAUGCAGAGGAGACGAAGGUUGGGGGCUCAUCAUGGAUUACGGUACAGACACUCCCUGGCUUCCAGUGGUUUGACUUACAAUUUUUUGACUUAACGAUGAUGCAAACGUGAUGUGCAUUCGGUAGAAGCUGUACGUUGAAUGUGGAAUUUGGAUCUUUUUCCCAGACUCCUGACAGGCAGUGUGAGACUCUGUCCUGAUCCUGGCCACCAGCAGUGAGCCGCCGCUCCCAGUCAGCCGCACGAUCACGAGGGUAAACGACCCGUACAGGCAUUCUGUACCCAUUCAGCCCUUCUGUUUUUCACUUUCAGUAUGGUAUUCAGUUAAUUAUGUGAGAUAUUCAACACUUUAUUAAAUAAGCUUUGUAGGGGCUCCUGGGUGGCUCAGUUGGGUAAGCGUCCGACUUCGGCUCAGGUCAUGAUCUCGCGGUUCGAGAGUUCGAGCCCCACGUCGGGCUCUGUGCUGACAGCUCGGAGCCUGGAGCCUGCUUCGGAUUCUGUGCCUCCCUCUCUCCCUCUGCCCCUCCCUCCCUCUGUGUGUCUCUCUCCUUCAAAAAUAAAUAACAUCAGAAAAAAUAUUUUUUGAGAAAAUAGGCUUUGUGUUCGAUUAUUUUGCCCAACUGUGAGCUAAUGUAAGUGUUUUGAGCACGUUUAAGGUAGGCCAGGCUCAGCUAUAAUGUUUAUUGGGUUAGAUGUAUUAAAUGCAUUUUUGACUUAUGGUAUUUUCAACUUACGUUGCGUUUUUUGGGGUGUAACCCCACUGUAAGUCCAGGAAGAUCUGUCUUAUUGACUACAGUUCCCCUGUUGUACGUUACAUCCCUGUGACUGAUUUUAUGUAGGGGCUUGCUUCCCAGACAGAUUUCUACCCAUUUCACGCUGGAGUCCAGGAUUCGGCUUUCUCCCACCUCCAAGGACCCCUGCCUUUCCCAUUUUCCUAGUCUUUGUGUUCACACUUUUAAAACAUCCCUUGACUGGGGCACCCGGUUGGCUCAGUCGGUUAGGCAUCUGACUUUGGCUCAGGUCAUGAUCUCACGGUUUGAGUUUGAGCCCCCCUUCUCUCUCCCUCUCUCUCCCCCUGUCUCCCCCUCUCUCUACCCCUCAUGGGACUCUCCCUCUCUGUCUGUCCCUCGCUCACUUGUGCCCUCUCUCUCUCUCAAAAAAUUAAUGAAAAGAAAAAAAAAUCUCUUUACUGGCUAUUUUGGGGGGAAACAGGGAAAUUCAAUGAUCAGUCAGUGUCUGGGUGUUUGACCUGCCUGCUGCCUUUGCGUGAAAUCACCCGUGACUUUUCUCACCUUGUGGCUCCUUCCUCAUCCACCUGCAUCGGGGCCCCACAGCCUCCCGUUGUAAGGAUCGGCCGUUGAGCAUCGAACCCCUCCUAGACUACAGAUCGUUUGGGCUCUUUUCCGUCUUCUGCUCAUUGGAAGCUACAAAUGAAUAACAGUAUCAUUUCCCCGAGGUGACUUUAACCUGCCAAGAUCGAUCUUCUAAUUAGUGGAACGAUCCAGAACCAUGGAGAAAGUCCUGUUGCCGUGCAGUCUCCUCCCACUCUCUGCUUUGGUCACUCCUCUCUAGCCUGCUGGCCUUGUCCUUCCCACCUCCAGGCCUUUGCACUCACGGUACCCUCCACCUGGAAUGCUUUCCCCCUACCGGCCGCGCUUUACCCACUGCUGGCUCCUUCCCGUUCUUUAUUUUUAUCAUUUUUUAAUUGUUUAAAGUUUAUUUAUUUAUUUUGAAAGAGAGAGCACACAGGGGAAGGGCAGAGAGAGAGAAUCCCAAGCAAUCUUCGCGACGUCAGCGCAGAGCCUGACACGGGGCUAGAACCCACGAACCGUGAGAUCAUGCCCUGAGCCAAAACCAAGAGGCCCAACUGAAUGAGUCAUCCAGGCGCCCCUCCUUCCCAUUCUUUAAAAUGUAGCACAAAUGUCGCUUCCUCAAAGUGGUCCCCCCCCCCCACCCCCACCCUUCCUGUGGAUAAAGCUUUUGAUCACAUCAUCCUGUUUCCUUUUUAGGAAACUUAGCAUAAAACUAUCAUUGGAUUGGGGCACUUGGGAGGCUCAGUUGGUUGAGUGUCCACUCUUGAUUUCCGCUCCGGUCAAAAUCUCACGGUUCGUGAGUUUGAGCCCUGCGUCGGGCUCUGUGCUGACAGCGCGAAGUCCGCUUGGGAUCCUCUCUCUCUGCCCCUCCCCCCUGCUCUCUCUCAAAAA